This is a long non-coding RNA of Carassius auratus (goldfish), 2474 nucleotides long. RefSeq lists it as uncharacterized. The record is from RefSeq and is a predicted model, not a curated record. The transcript has 17 exons. Lineage: Eukaryota; Metazoa; Chordata; Actinopteri; Cypriniformes; Cyprinidae.
CCUCUGCUUCAGUUGGCGACGGAAGCACGGGAUUCUUCAUAGCUGCUCCUGCAUGUUAAAAGGUUCUUUUAGAGUGACUCCCAGAUUAGUGGAGACACAGCCUGAGUUGAAUAUUAAUAAUUUUAUAUCAAGUCUACUUCGAAAACUGGGCUGGUCAGAUUCAAGGAAUCGACUCUUUUGGAGUCGACUCCUCAUCAGUACUGCGCAUGUGCUUACAAAUCAUCACAUCGACGCGCACGUGGAAGUGAUCGCCGCGGGAAAACUGAGUUUGUCUAGUUCCUCCAUGGUUGUGAGAGGAAAGACCUCAUCUUCGCUGUCCACCACUGGAGCACUGGAACGGUUGUUUGCUGCAAGGGACUGGACCACUGAAGUCAGAUGAUUGAUCUUCAUGUCCAGUUCAUUAAGUGCCUCCAGAAUUGUCCUCUCAACAGCUGCAACACAUUAGAUGGGUGUUCAUCCCAAGCAUCUUCUUGCUCAUUUUCAUUGGACAAGCUCACUGGAACAGCUGGAGUUAAGAAAGGUGAAGUUGAUGGGUGUUCUUCCCAAGUUUCCAGCUGGCGGUCUGAAUGAGAGAAGCUCAUUAACAUUACAAAAGGUGAGUGUCCACCCCAAUGAUCUUGUGGCUCAUCUGCCUGGGAGAAGCUCACGGGAACAUCUGGAGCUGACAAUGAUGGAACUGUACUCAUGUAGAGCCUGUUACCUUGACAGCUGGGGAAAGUCUCAAAACGGGCCUGCUCUGGCUUCUCCAUGGCCCUUUGGUGGUGAUUAACAAAUGCUGUUGAAAGAAUUGAGGUGCUGGAGGUUUUGGUGCAGGCGGGACUUUUGGUGCGGGCUGGAUUUUUGGUAAUGUUCAGAUUCUGAGAUGUCAGAAGUGUAGCAUGCCCUUUUCCAUUUUUUGGAAAUGUUGUCAAAUGAUGCUGAAAUGAUCAAAAAUUCUGGCCUGAUGCUUGGUCCAACCCUUAUCUGGCUGUGGUGCCUCCAUCAACCUGACGCUCUUUAGUAACCGGUCCAAGUCUUUGUAUGGAGGCCACCAUGAGUGGCCAUCUGAGUACCAGGACUUUGCUACAGGACCGGUACUCCCUUCUCCGACAAACUCCACUAUCAGAAAUGUGUUGGUCCUGAGAUGCCAUGAACUAGAUGAAUACCAAGUUCUGAGGAUGGAAGGGGAUAAUCAAAAAAAGGUUCAUGAUUGUUGAAGGUACAUUUUUUUUGGCACCAACCAACCUUUCUGUCAGCACAGUGGCUUGAAAUCCUGACAGCCUGCAAGUUAGAGGACCCAGUCGAAGCCACAAGUGGAGAAGCCGCCUCAUGACACCAAGGCACACAAGGUGCAUGUAAUCAAGGGGGAAUCCAGAGACCAUAUCCAAGGAUGUUUCUUCUAGUGGGAAUGUCAUCCUGUUCUCCAGGUGCACACCAUCCUGAAUGCACUUUUCGCAUCCAUGGUAGCCUGCAUGGCCCUUCACUUUUUUCAGAAAAGCACGUGCAGGUGCGUCGCAAAUCAUUGAGGUCCAGAAACGUAGUAAGGACAUCAAUAAAACAGACCAUGUGAGAUCAGAUCAGUGGCUCAACUUCAGUUUUAUGAAGACUUCUAUCCUGAUGUUUGGCUGUAGUCCUUCCAUCAUCCAGUCUUCUGCAGCCGGUCUAUUUAUGGAGACCACCAUGAUCUAAUCUAUACAGAUCUAGUUGUCUCUUCUCCCACAAACUCCUCUUUCAGAUUUUGAGCGGAUCUCCUUCAUUCUGCAGCCAUCUCACCAGAACCUCUGGGUGCACCAGCUGUGGAUAUUACAGGCCAAACUUUGGACACCCUAGGACAACAUCCUUAGCACAGAUCUACCUAUAGCCCUCCAUCAUUCCCACAUCCAUCUUGCAACAGUUUCAUUAACUGCAGUCCAUAACCAGUUCACAGUCUACACCUUGUCCAUUGCAAAUGUUAUGGAUUAUUCUAAUAGAGAUCUUUCUAUUAUUUUUUUUUGAGACAGUUAUUAUGUACUCUGUUAUGUUGUGAAUAAAGUCAGCCCCCCCCCCCCCCACCUCGAUGCUUUCAGCAGUUAAUAGAUUAAAGUGUGUCCUUAAUGUUUUAUUAUUUAAAGAUUGUUUUAAAGUUUAUUACAGGCUCAGUUUAUUUUUUUUUUAGUAUUAACUGUCAUAAUCAAAUAUGAGACUUUUGUCAGUAUCAUUAAUUCUAUGAGGCAAUAUGAAUCAAAUUAACAUUUGUAUAGGGUUUUCAUCUGAAGGCUUCUUCCUCAUUCAGUUAAACAUCAAGGGUUUUCUAUGCCUUUGUCACCUUUUACUUUCUCAUUGGAAAUUAUGAGCAUCAGUAUUUUUUCUCAUUGGAAAUUAUGAGCAGCAGUAUUUGGAAGAAAAUAAGAAUAUGAAAAUGGCUUUGAUUUCAAUGUAUUUAAUGGAAUCAAAGAACCACACAAACCUUUGACCUUCACACAGACAUUGUAUUAAUUAAAGUGUUACUCAAAUUA